CCUACGGGAGGCAGCAGUGAGGAAUAUUGGUCAAUGGACGAGAGUCUGAACCAGCCAAGUAGCGUGAAGGAUGACUGCCCUAUGGGUUGUAAACUUCUUUUAUAUGGGAAUAAAAUGUUCCACGUGUGGGAUUUUGUAUGUACCAUAUGAAUAAGGAUCGGCUAACUCCGUGCCAGCAGCCGCGGUAAUACGGAGGAUCCGAGCAUUAUCCGGAUUUAUUGGGUUUAAAGGGAGCGUAGGUGGAUUGUUAAGUCAGUUGUGAAAGUUUGCGGCUCAACCGUAAAAUUGCAGUUGAAACUGGCAGUCUUGAGUACAGUAGAGGUGGGCGGAAUUCGUGGUGUAGCGGUGAAAUGCUUAGAUAUCACGAAGAACUCCGAGUGCGAAGGCAGUUCACUGGACUGCAACUGACACUGAGGCUCGAAAGUGUGGGUAUCAAACAGGAUUAGAUACCCUAGUAGUC
This 460-nucleotide ribosomal RNA is filed under the name uncultured bacterium. RNAcentral describes it as "partial 16S ribosomal RNA". It matches the Rfam family "Bacterial small subunit ribosomal RNA", at positions 338 to 795 of the family's 1533-position model. The record is from RNAcentral.